RNAcentral lists this ribosomal RNA (251 nucleotides) under uncultured prokaryote. RNAcentral's name for it is "partial 16S rRNA". It matches the Rfam family "Bacterial small subunit ribosomal RNA", at positions 525 to 775 of the family's 1533-position model. The record is from RNAcentral.
ACGAAGGGGGCUAGCGUUGCUCGGAUUUACUGGGCGUAAAGGGCGCGUAGGCGGACGAUCAAGUUGGGGGUGAAAGCCCGGGGCUCAACCUCGGAAUUGCCUUCAAAACUGAUCGUCUUGAGUUUGGGAGAGGUGUGUGGAACUCCGAGUGUAGAGGUGAAAUUCGUAGAUAUUCGGAAGAACACCAGUGGCGAAGGCGACACACUGGCCCAAUACUGACGCUGAGGCGCGAAAGCGUGGGGAGCAAACAG